This 253-nucleotide ribosomal RNA is filed under the name uncultured bacterium. Its description in RNAcentral is "partial 16S ribosomal RNA". It matches the Rfam family "Bacterial small subunit ribosomal RNA", at positions 524 to 776 of the family's 1533-position model. The record is from RNAcentral.
UACGUAGGGUGCGAGCGUUGUCCGGAUUCAUUGGGCGUAAAGAGCUCGUAGGCGGCCACUCAAGUCGAAUGUGAAACCUCGAGGCUUAACCUCGAGCCUGCAUUCGAUACUGGGCGGCUAGAGUCUGGUAGGGGGAUCUGGAAUUCCUGGUGUAGCGGUGGAAUGCGCAGAUAUCAGGAGGAACACCGGUGGCGAAGGCAGGUCUCUGGGCCACUACUGACGCUGAGAAGCGAAAGCAUGGGGAGCGAACAGG